AGAGUUUGAUCCUGGCUCGGGACGAACGCUUUGGCGGCGUGCCUAACACAUGCAAGUCGAGCGGAGACAGUGAGUAGCUUGCUAUGAGCUGUUUUAGCGGCGGACGGGUGAGUAACGCGUGAGCAACCUUUCCCAGACAGGGGAAUAACACACCGAAAGGUGUACUAAUACCGCAUAAGACCACGGAAUCACAUGGUUCUGAGGUAAAAGAUUUAUCGGUUUGGGGUGGGCUCGCGUCCGAUUAGGUAGUUGGUGAGGUAACGGCCCC
Molecule: ribosomal RNA, 268 nt
Filed under: uncultured bacterium
Lineage: Bacteria
Description: partial 16S ribosomal RNA
Rfam family: Bacterial small subunit ribosomal RNA
Source: RNAcentral